UACGUAGGGAGCAAGCGUUGUCCGGAAUCAUUGGGCGUAAAGCGCGCGUAGGCGGCCCUGUAAGUCCGUUGUGAAAGUCAAAGGCUCAACCUUUGAAAGCCGAUGGAUACUGCAGGGCUAGAGUCCGGAAGAGGCGAGUGGAAUUCCUGGUGUAGCGGUGGAAUGCGCAGAUAUCAGGAGGAACACCAGUAGCGAAGGCGGCUCGCUGGGACGGUACUGACGCUAAGGCGCGAAAGCGUGGGGAGCAAACAGG
This 253-nucleotide ribosomal RNA is filed under the name uncultured bacterium. RNAcentral describes it as "partial 16S ribosomal RNA". It matches the Rfam family "Bacterial small subunit ribosomal RNA", at positions 524 to 776 of the family's 1533-position model. The record is from RNAcentral.